This 407-nucleotide ribosomal RNA is filed under the name uncultured bacterium. RNAcentral describes it as "partial 16S ribosomal RNA". It matches the Rfam family "Bacterial small subunit ribosomal RNA", at positions 30 to 526 of the family's 1533-position model. The record is from RNAcentral.
AUUGAACGCUGGCGGCAGGCCUAACACAUGCAAGUCGAGCGGCGCGGGGGACGGGUGAGUAAUGCCUAGGAAUCUGCCUGGUGGUGAGGUAUAACUACCGGGAGCGGGACCUAUUAACACAGGCUAUCAGAGCGGCCUAGGUCGGAGUUGCUAGUUGGUGGGGUAAAGGCCCACCAAGGCGACGAUGCGUAGCUGGUCUGAGAGGAUGAUCAGUCACACUGGAACUGAGACACGGUCCAGACUCCUACGGGAGGCAGCAGUGGGGAAUAUUGGACAAUGGGCGAAAGCCUGAUCCAGCAAUGCCGCGUGUGUGAAGAAGGUCUUCGGAUUGUAAAGCACUUUUAGUUGGGAGGCGUUACCAACAGAAUAAGCCCCGGCUAACUUCGUGCCAGCAGCCGCGGUAAUUC